GAUGAACGCUGGCGGCGUGCCUAACACAUGCAAGUCGAGCGAACAGACGAUGAGCUUGCGCCUCUGCCGGUGGCGGCGGACGGGUGAGUAACACGUGCAUAACCUACUUAUAUGACUGGGAUAACUUCGGGAGACCGGUUCCAAUACCGGAUAAUAUGUUGAACGGCAGGGAUCAAUAGUGAAAGACGCUUUGCCCGUCACUAUGAGCUGAAUCCGCGCCGCAUUAGCUAGUUGGUAAGGUAACGGCUUACCAAGGCGACGAUGCGUAGCCGACCUGAGAGGGUGAUCAGCCACACUGGAACUGAGACACGGUCCAGACUCCUACGGGAGGCAGCAGUGGGGAAUCUUCCGCAAUGGGCGAAAGCCUGACGGAGCCACGCCGCGUGAGUGAAGAAGGCCUUCGGAUCGUAAAGCUCUGUUAUUAGGAAAGAACAGAAGUGUAAGUAAAUAUGCACGUUUUGACGGUACCCAAUCAGAAAGCACCGGCUAACUACGUG
Molecule: ribosomal RNA, 497 nt
Filed under: uncultured bacterium
Lineage: Bacteria
Description: partial 16S ribosomal RNA
Rfam family: Bacterial small subunit ribosomal RNA
Source: RNAcentral